Molecule: long non-coding RNA, 1541 nt
Filed under: Pogona vitticeps (central bearded dragon)
Lineage: Eukaryota; Metazoa; Chordata; Lepidosauria; Squamata; Agamidae
Description: lncRNA (ENSPVIG00000025080.1)
Source: RNAcentral
UUGCAUUCGUUUAAUUGCAUGUAACCCUGGGCUGCUAGAUGUUUGCUACUACGUAGUGCGGUCAUGACCUGCCUGAAUGCAAGCAUCUUGGGUCCCAGCAGGUUUUUCAUGGACAAAUUAAACACACAUCGAACUCCUUGUCUCACCAAAACAGAUGGAAUAAAGGUCUGUGCUCUUAAUCAGUUCUAGUGAAUUCAACAGAAACUACUUCCAAACAGACUUGCAUGAGGCCAAUCUGCAAAUGCGCUGAACUGUAGGUUGCAAAAUCAUAUACAUUAUCUUAAUCAUCCCUAUGACAGUUUCCUGUGGUAGGUGAGUCUUAUGGAAAAGGAAGCAAAAGAGGAAACCUACGUUGGCUUAAGCUUGUGUAGCACAAGGAAGCACAGUUUCUUGGAAUGAAAAGGGCAGAAAUCAUGGCUGUUUAGGGGUGUGUGUGGAAAAUAAAACAAGUUGACUGAUACACAAAGUUAAAUAAUUAGUGAAAUCACUACUCAGGGCAGUUUACAUAACAAAAACGUAAUAUUUGUGGCAAGCCUCCUGAACACACAAUGUCAUUUCAUUUCACCCAGGGUGGUCCUCUAAAGGUUUGAUGUCUCAUCAGCCGCAGCCAGCUUUCCAACAGAGAGGGCUACUGGAGGGUUACCAUUCAACUACAUCUGGAUUGGGCUGCCCUUACCUGUGCAUCUCUCAGAUCUGUACUCGUCUGUGUCGCCUGGAUCCUCUGCAUGUCUGCCAAACAGGACCAUGGACAGCUCACUGUAGUUUUUCCCAGGCCUGACAGCAAGAAUCAUUUCUCUAAGUAACAGUCACAUCAUUUCUCAGUGACUCUUGAAAUAUAAAAAGUCAUGCUCAGGAUUCAUAAAAUACAAUAUAUUUAUUAAGACUGAUUGAUAUUUAUGACACUGUACAGAAGCUGCAGAAGAUGUUACUUGGGAUUAAAAUCCACUUUCCUCAUCCAUUUCCGUAGUUUUACUCAAUUUAAAUUGAAUCUCAGGUGUCAGGUGAUCAACAUCCGGCCAGAAUGAUCUUGUGGUGUUUUCUACUUCUCUCAUUCCCCCCACUUUAACCCCACACUCUGGAAGGUUCAGCUUGAUACAGAACCCUGUAGGACCAGAAAGCUCACCUGUCUGUGAUGUUUCAAAUGGCUUAUGCUACCAUGCAAAGCCCUUAAUGGUUUAGGAUCUUGCUCCCUGUCUAAGUGCUUCUCCCUCAAACAUCUCCCCAUUCCAUCCAUACCUCACAUACUGGGAUGCUAUGGGUGAUGACCCCGAGGGAGGCCUGAAAAUCUGACACUAGAACCCGGGUCUUCUCAGUGGUUGCCGGAUCACUUUGGAACUCGCUCCUAUCUGAGGUACAAUUAAACCCAUCCCUCAUUGGUUUUAGGAGACUAAAACCUGACUCUCUUCACAAACUUUUAAUGGCCUUACUCCAGAGUAAUCUGACUGGAUAAUUGGGCUUCUUUCUCUCUCUUUCCCUUUGUGCUUGUGAACUUGUCAUAUUUUUGCCACCUAAUAUUAUUGUAUUCAGUGUUUACAACUAGU